AAUUCAAAAAUAUGCAAAAAAUGUCAUUAUGUCCCAGAAAUCAGAUUAUGAUAUAUAUUUAUAUAUCUAUAAGGUAUAGCUUCUAUUAUUAUUCGACGUUAAACGUCUGUAGCCAGAAGGUUGUGUUAAUUACACCUGUUAAUACAACUUUUGAGAAAAUCGAAAAAUGACCUUCUUAAAAUACCUCCCCACACCGAUUUCCUUUCAGAAAAGGUGCUACUCUUAAAAAUCAAAGCAAGAUUUCUGGUAGAAAAGUUGUCCAUAGAUAAAAAAAAAAGUAAAAAAAUAAACAUGUAAAACCAUAAGCUUCUUCGCUCCAUUUAGAAUCUAAAAUCAGAGCAAGAUUUCUAUUAAAAAAGUUGUUUACAGAAUACAGAGAGAAAAAAAGAGCACACACCAUUAUAGUAAAACCAAUACAUUCCUCACUGCGCUCAAAAUAUAAAACUAAACCAGGAGUAUCAUUUAUGUGUCAGUACGGCGCGCGGCAUGUUGAUAAUGCACCACCACUCUCUUUCAACUCAAACUUAAAAGUGGAAUAUCUCGUCAACGGAUCUACGGAAAUCAAAAAUGUCAACACUGAAAUUUCUUUUUAACUAAUACUCCAUUUAUUUGUAGACUUUUUAGUAUAGGUUGCCGUUUGAAAAUCAAAAGUAGGUAGUGGUUUUACCCCCAAAAAUAAGGGUGACAAAAUAUAACAUAAUAAUACAAUUGUAGAACAGCUUGUUUCUUAAAUAUUCUAGAAAAAAAAUUUAGGAAAAAUUUAAUAUUUUCCGAGAUUAUGAGUAUACCCACUUAAAUGGAUCACCUAGAAUAGUCAAAUAAGCUAUGAGUAAUCCUUGUAUCAUUAUAAUAGUAAUAAUACAGUAGAUACGCUAUAUUUAUAAUAUAAUAA
This is a non-coding RNA of Cinara cedri, 892 nucleotides long. The record is from the annotation of a GenBank genome assembly. NCBI's taxonomy places the organism in Eukaryota, Metazoa, Arthropoda, Insecta, Hemiptera, Aphididae.